This 504-nucleotide ribosomal RNA is filed under the name uncultured bacterium. RNAcentral describes it as "partial 16S ribosomal RNA". It matches the Rfam family "Bacterial small subunit ribosomal RNA", at positions 28 to 506 of the family's 1533-position model. The record is from RNAcentral.
GACGAACGCUGGCGGCGUGCCUAAUACAUGCAAGUAGAACGCACAGUUUAUACCGUAGCUUGCUACACCAUAGACUGUGAGUUGCGAACGGGUGAGUAACGCGUAGGUAACCUGCCUGGUAGCGGGGGAUAACUAUUGGAAACGAUAGCUAAUACCGCAUAAUAUUAAUUAUUGCAUGAUAAUUAAUUGAAAGGUGCAAUUGCACCACUACCAGAUGGACCUGCGUUGUAUUAGCUAGUAGGUGAGGUAACGGCUCACCUAGGCGACGAUACAUAGCCGACCUGGGAGGGUGAUCGGCCACACUGGGACUGAGACACGGCCCAGACUCCUACGGGAGGCAGCAGUAGGGAAUCUUCGGCAAUGGACGAAAGUCUGACCGAGCAACGCCGCGUGAGUGAAGAAGGUUUUCGGAUCGUAAAGCUCUGUUGUAAGAGAAGAACGGGUGUGAGAGUGGAAAGUUCACACUGUGACGGUAUCUUACCAGAAAGGGACGGCUAACUACGU